RNAcentral lists this transfer RNA (86 nucleotides) under Azospirillum oleiclasticum. RNAcentral describes it as "tRNA-Tyr". It matches the Rfam family "tRNA". Rfam says of the family: Transfer RNA (tRNA) molecules are approximately 80 nucleotides in length. Their secondary structure includes four short double-helical elements and three loops (D, anti-codon, and T loops). The record is from RNAcentral. Lineage: Bacteria; Pseudomonadati; Pseudomonadota; Alphaproteobacteria; Rhodospirillales; Azospirillaceae.
GGAAGGGUGGCCGAGUGGUUAAUGGCAGCAGACUGUAAAUCUGCCCUCUCCGGAGUACGUAGGUUCGAAUCCUACCCCUUCCACCA